CACGGUUACCACUCUCUCUAUCACAAUCACACACACACACAGUUUCACGCUCAAUCUUGCAUGAUGCUAUGGAGGAAACAGAAAUGUGCAUCAUAUGUGUUCGACGAUGUUCAGUAGAUCUAACUCGUAUCAGAAUGCUAUUCAGUCGAUCAGUGUGUUGUAAUUUACCGGACAAAUUAUUGUAAGUCGGUAUCACACGCCAAUUAGAGGCGCGUUCGACAUUCAGGAGUUCUUACUCGUAAUCCGUAUAAUAUUCAAUUGAUCAGGUUGUUUCUUACUUUCAUUUGCAUAUUCUUUAACCUAAAUUUUCCCUCUGUUCCUUUUGUCAUGUUAUUGUUUGGUGAUUGUUUCUAAUCUGCUUGUUAAUUACUGGUUAUUUAGGCGUUUUUUGUGCUGAUGUUUGAUUUACUGGACUGUAUUUUAAAAGAAGAAGAUGAGAGAACACUAAAAGUGUGCUGGAUACUCUCUCAAAUGGACAACACUAAAAGUUUUAACUAACUUUUAAAAACUAUUAAAUGUGCUUAAUCUAGGGAUUCCCUCCAAAAACUAUAUAAUACUGCCAUCAAAGUCAAGUAGGAAAUACAUUAAAUAUCUUUGACUACACAUUUUAUUUUGCCUAAAAUUUAAUAGUACAAUAUUAUGCCUCAACUUGUUUGGCACUAAUAUGGCUUUUCCAUGCAUGUCUACAUGACAUGUCUCAUGCGCAGUCAUAGGUAAGCUUCUUAGGUGAAUAAACAUUAGUAUUUGGUAAUCCUAUUGCUAUGGUAUAUGCAUAAUCGCGCUAUAGUGAUGUAAUAAUCCUAUUUCAUUUAGUUACCAGGAAUAAUGUGCAUGUGUGCUCCAACUGUUGAGACUAUCAUCUUGAUGAAAUUUCAGCUUGUAUCAUUGAAUUGAAAUUUGAAUAAGAUACUUAAAUAUUACAAUAUCCUGCAGCUAAAGUCUUCUUCAAUAUCAUAGUCUUACAUGUGAACUCCAUGUGUUGGAAUUUUCCGAUAUGAUGGUCUUCUUUGAUUUUUUCUCCUUUUCAUUCGUAACACAGAUUAAUAUAUAUUCGGGUAACUGGAAUGGAUGAUGGGUUAAACGUCAGAGAAGAAAUUUGCUUUGUAUUUUAUCACAUAUUUUUGCCAAGUUCUACUCCUCCAUAGCUUUAUUGUUUGUUUGGCACAUCUCUUUAAGCCACUGACAUUAUAAACUUGCUGGAAGAUAUGUAUUAUGAUAUCUUUAAUAAACUGAUGAACUCACAUGGAUUGUAUAAUGAUCUGAAUUAUCAUUCUACUUUUGUUUUACUGUAGCUAAAGUUAAAUGAUGGAUAUUGAGAGUGACGUUCAAGUUUGUGCUAAAUGAGUCUGGGAGUGUAUCAAUUGCAAUCGAUUCUGUCCGGCAAAUUAUAUUAAACAAAUUUCUUGAAGCUGACUCUGUAGCUCACGAAGCAUUGCAGAUUUUCCAACUGACAAACAUCCAAGCCACAUAG
RNAcentral lists this long non-coding RNA (1471 nucleotides) under Helianthus annuus (common sunflower). Its description in RNAcentral is "hypothetical non coding rna". Lineage: Eukaryota; Viridiplantae; Streptophyta; Magnoliopsida; Asterales; Asteraceae. The record is from RNAcentral.